UAGCUCACUAGUCGAGAGGUCCUGCGCCGAAAAUGUCCGGGGCUGAAACACACUACCGAAGCUUAGGAAUUGACGAAUGUUAAUUGGUAGAGGAGCAUUCUUAACGGGGCGAAGCUGUACCGGAAGGAGCAGUGGACUGUUAAGAAGAGAGAAUGCCGGAAUGAGUAGCGAGAGGAAGGUGAGAAUCCUUCCGGCCGAAUAUCUAAGGUUUCCAGAGUAAAGCUGAUCUGCUCUGGGUAAGUCGGGGCCUAAGGCGAGGUCGAAAGACGUAGUCGAUGGAUAACAGGUAAAGAUUCCUGUACUAUAUCAUAACAGAACUGUGGGGACGCAGACAGAGAGCAUAAGCCGGGAAUGGAAAAACCGGUACAAGCGAGGUAGGAGUGCAUCAGGCAAAUCCGGUGCACAAUCUGAAGACGUGAUGUGGGGCGUAAAGCCGGAAGUAUGUGAGCUGGCUGCCAAGAAAAGCCGCUAUUGUUUAUGAUAUACCCGUACCGUAAACCGACACAGGUGGAUGAGGAGAGAAUCCUAAGGCCGACGGGAGAAGCAUUGUUAAGGAACUCGGCAAAAUGACUCCGUAACUUCGGGAGAAGGAGUGCCAUGCGAAUGGCCGCAGAGAAUUGGCCCAAGCAACUGUUUAGCAAAAACACAGGUCUAUGCAAAACCGAAAGGUGAGGUAUAUGGGCUGACGCCUGCCCGGUGCUGGAAGGUUAAGGGGAGUGGUCAGGAAACGAAGCCACGAACUUAAGCCCCAGUAAACGGCGGCCGUAACUAUAACGGUCCUAAGGUAGCGAAAUUCCUUGUCGGGUAAGUUCCGACCCGCACGAAAGGCGUAAUGAUUUGGGCACUGUCUCAACAAUGCACCCGGUGAAAUUGAAAUACCAGUGAAGAUGCUGGUUACCUGCGCCAGGACGGAAAGACCCCAUGGAGCUUUACUCCAGCUUGAUACUGGGAUUCGGUUAUACAUGUACAGGAUAGGUGGGAGGCUAAGAAAUGAGGACGCCAGUCUUCAUGGAGCCGCUGUUGGGAUACCACCCUUGUGUGACUGGGUUUCUAACCUGCAGCCGUGACCCGGCUGGGGGACAAUGUCAGGUGGGGAGUUUGACUGGGGCGGUCGCCUCCGAAAGGGUAUCGGAGGCGCUCAAAGGUUCCCUCAGAAUGGUCGGAAACCAUUCGAAGAGUGCAAAGGCAGAAGGGAGCUUGACUGCGACACCGACGGGUGGAGCAGGUACGAAAGUAGGACUUAGUGAUCCGGUGGUAUGAAAGUGGGAUUGCCAUCGCUCAACGGAUAAAAGCUACCCUGGGGAUAACAGGCUUAUCACUCCCAAGAGUUCACAUCGACGGAGUGGUUUGGCACCUCGAUGUCGGCUCAUCGCAUCCUGGGGCUGAAGUCGGUCCCAAGGGUUGGGCUGUUCGCCCAUUAAAGCGGUACGCGAGCUGGGUUCAGAACGUCGUGAGACAGUUCGGUCCCUAUCCGGCGUGGGCGUAGGAUAUUUGAGAGGAGCUGUCCUUAGUACGAGAGGACCGGGAUGGACUGACCUCUGGUGUACCGGUUGAACCGCCAGGUUCACGGCCGGGUAGCCAAGUCGGGAAGGGAUAAACGCUGAAGGCAUCUAAGCGUGAAGCCCCCCUCAAGAUGAGAUAUCCCAUUCGAAAGAAGUAAGACCCCUUGA
RNAcentral lists this ribosomal RNA (1670 nucleotides) under human gut metagenome. RNAcentral's name for it is "bacterial LSU rRNA". It matches the Rfam family "Bacterial large subunit ribosomal RNA", at positions 1138 to 2841 of the family's 2925-position model. The record is from RNAcentral.